CUCUUCCCAAAAAAAAUUAUCAAAUUUGGGCCGACAUCAAAUCACAUCCAAUUUAAAAUUAUAGGUGUGAUCGGGUUGGAUUGUGAGACAUUCUCAACCUAACUCAUAUUUUCGAGUUAUUUAAUUUCCAACCAGUAAAAUAUGGGAGUUGUUGUCCAUGUGUAGGGUCAAAAAGCAACCACUAAGUAAAGCUAUUUUACUUUUCAAAUUUUCUUCUUUAUCUCUUUUGAAUGUGAAAUUGGUAAAGUUAAUUAAUCUCUCUUUCUUUUCCUCCUUACUUUGCUUCUUGAACCGAAGCAAUUCCAUAUAAAUACUCAAGCUUUCUCUCCCUAUUGUCUAUGUCUAUUUUGUGAUUUUUGAUUGAAGAUAGAGAUGAUGAUGAAGAUGGAAGAGAAGAAGAAGAAUCAACCCAGGAAAUUUUUAAAGUGGUUUGGUUAUAAACAAUCACAUCCAAGGGACUUGAGAGCAAGAUUUUAUUAAGAGAAAUUUUAGCAAUGGAUACCAGGGCAACCUUGACAUCCCGAUAAGCUUGAGCAAGUUUCUCUCCAACUGUUCUACUUGAUGAAUCACUACUUUUUUCAUGUUGAACCUUCAUAUUCUCUAUGUAUGCAAAAAGAAGAAGAGAGAAAGUAGAGUAAAUAAACAUCUUUGGCCUCCAUAUUUAUAGCCAAAGAAAAAGGCAGGUUUGCCUUUUCUCUUUUCUUCUUUAAUAUAACUUCUGCCCCUUACCUUAGUCCAAGUGUUGCUCUCUAAUUGCAAAUCAAAAUAUUCUUUAAUUUGUGAGUGGAUUGUGAGGGUGAUGUGUUGUUAUAUGACUACACUAUAGCAAGUAGUGGAAUAUUAGUUUCAAUUAUAAAUUAUUCCUCCUCUAUAAUCAUAAUCAUAUAUGUAAACUUUUCAUUUUUUUUGGA
Molecule: long non-coding RNA, 911 nt
Organism: Cucumis sativus (cucumber)
Lineage: Eukaryota; Viridiplantae; Streptophyta; Magnoliopsida; Cucurbitales; Cucurbitaceae
Exons: 2
Source: RefSeq, a predicted model, not a curated record